GCGAACGGACGAGAAGCUUGCUUCUCUGAUGUUAGCGGCGGACGGGUGAGUAACACGUGGAUAACCUACCUAUAAGACUGGGAUAACUUCGGGAAACCGGAGCUAAUACCGGAUAAUAUUUUGAACCGCAUGGUUCAAAAGUGAAAGACGGUCUUGCUGUCACUUAUAGAUGGAUCCGCGCUGCAUUAGCUAGUUGGUAAGGUAACGGCUUACCAAGGCAACGAUGCAUAGCCGACCUGAGAGGGUGAUCGGCCACACUGGAACUGAGACACGGUCCAGACUCCUACGGGAGGCAGCAGUAGGGAAUCUUCCGCAAUGGGCGAAAGCCUGACGGAGCAACGCCGCGUGAGUGAUGAAGGUCUUCGGAUCGUAAAACUCUGUUAUUAGGGAAGAACAUAUGUGUAAGUAACUGUGCACAUCUUGACGGUACCUAAUCAGAAAGCCACGGCUAACUACGUGCCAGCAGCCGCGGUAAUACGUAGGUGGCAAGCGUUAUCCGGAAUUAUUGGGCGUAAAGCGCGCGUAGGCGGUUUUUUAAGUCUGAUGUGAAAGCCCACGGCUCAACCGUGGAGGGUCAUUGGAAACUGGAAAACUUGAGUGCAGAAGAGGAAAGUGGAAUUCCAUGUGUAGCGGUGAAAUGCGCAGAGAUAUGGAGGAACACCAGUGGCGAAGGCGACUUUCUGGUCUGUAACUGACGCUGAUGUGCGAAAGCGUGGGGAUCAAACAGGAUUAGAUACCCUGGUAGUCCACGCCGUAAACGAUGAGUGCUAAGUGUUAGGGGGUUUCCGCCCCUUAGUGCUGCAGCUAACGCAUUAAGCACUCCGCCUGGGGAGUACGACCGCAAGGUUGAAACUCAAAGGAAUUGACGGGGACCCGCACAAGCGGUGGAGCAUGUGGUUUAAUUCGAAGCAACGCGAAGAACCUUACCAAAUCUUGACAUCCUUUGACAACUCUAGAGAUAGAGCUUUCCCCUUCGGGGGACAAAGUGACAGGUGGUGCAUGGUUGUCGUCAGCUCGUGUCGUGAGAUGUUGGGUUAAGUCCCGCAACGAGCGCAACCCUUAAGCUUAGUUGCCAUCAUUAAGUUGGGCACUCUAAGUUGACUGCCGGUGACAAACCGGAGGAAGGUGGGGAUGACGUCAAAUCAUCAUGCCCCUUAUGAUUUGGGCUACACACGUGCUACAAUGGACAAUACAAAGGGCAGCGAAACCGCGAGGUCAAGCAAAUCCCAUAAAGUUGUUCUCAGUUCGGAUUGUAGUCUGCAACUCGACUACAUGAAGCUGGAAUCGCUAGUAAUCGUAGAUCAGCAUGCUACGGUGAAUACGUUCCCGGGUCUUGUACACACCGCCCGUCACACCACGAGAGUUUGUA
RNAcentral lists this ribosomal RNA (1369 nucleotides) under Staphylococcus aureus. Its description in RNAcentral is "bacterial SSU rRNA". It matches the Rfam family "Bacterial small subunit ribosomal RNA", at positions 66 to 1416 of the family's 1533-position model. The record is from RNAcentral. Lineage: Bacteria; Bacillati; Bacillota; Bacilli; Caryophanales; Staphylococcaceae.